AUCCGACGAUCACUGAGGCAUCAAUUAUACAAUUCUCAAAGAACCCCAAACUAUUUGCAUAGCUCUCACAGCGGGGAGCAGAUGAUCCUGCGGUCGCUCUGCAUGAAGGAAGACACGUCUUUCUUCUGCACGAAGGAUACAACUACCCUCGCUCAGAGAAAGCGCAGAUCUCGAGUUCGUACUUGAAUGGUGACUAUGUUAAACAAUGC
RNAcentral lists this long non-coding RNA (209 nucleotides) under Elaeis guineensis (African oil palm). RNAcentral's name for it is "long non-coding RNA (EGUI_LNC025186)". Lineage: Eukaryota; Viridiplantae; Streptophyta; Magnoliopsida; Arecales; Arecaceae. The record is from RNAcentral.